ACACAAUCAACACAAUCAACACAAUCAUAUAUAAUAGUACAAAACGCAAAGUGUAAAGUGUGAAGCAAUACGAAUGACGACCAAGUCCACACGUUGACAGAUAUACGUACAAUCUACAACUAGUCCAAAAAAAAAAAAAAAACUUUAAAAAUAUCAACCAAAUUAACACACAAAAAUGAUCCCUAACUACUUGUACAUUAUCACCACGUUAGUCUUAUUAUUAAGCACAAUAAUGUGCGUAAUCGAAAAAAACAACAACAUUAGUCAUACAUCAAAAAAAAGCUUUAAAAAAAAAUGGUACAACUUAAAUAAAAUCGCAGGGAAUAAUCGUAUAAAGAAAAGAAUUGGAGUAAAAUUUAUCCAGAUAUCUGUUUUUAAUCCCAUUAUUCAAAGUAGAUUAAAUAUAAAACUUAAACCAAAUAAAGAUAGGAGUGAUGUAAAAUUACCUCAUGGGCAAACAAAAAUAUUAAAUCAUAUUAUUAAUAUUAAUAGUAAUGAAUUUUAUUUACAUGGAUUUACUCAUUUAUAUAGCGCAUUACAAAAUAUGUUAAAUAUGUAUUGUUAUCCUAAUGUAGCUUUAUGUUAUAAUGAUUUUAAUGAUUGUCAUUGUUAUGAAAAUAUAAAAUUAACAGUACCUGGCAUGAUGAGUGGUUGUUUGGAUAAUUGUGGUAACAUCAUCAGUUGUGAUAUGCAGAUUAAUAAUAAAGAGAUAAAAAAAAUAGAACCUGAAUAUAUAAAAACUCAAAUGAUAUUUACUUGUGUUGUAUCCCAGUAUCAACGUAAAUUAGAUCAUUUUUGUGGUGAAAAAAAAGUAUUUCGUUUUUAUAAAUCAAAAAGGUAUUGUAUACCUUACAAUAUAUUAGAUAUAACAAAACGUGAUGAAUAUUGCUUAUCAAGUAAUAUAAGUAUAAUAAAAUGUAAUGGUUUUAUUGCAGAUCCUUAUAUGAUAAAUGCAGAAGAAUAUAUAUUAACCUACAAUCCAAAGGAAAUGAGUCAAGUGACUAUGGGUAUAUCUUGUAAAGAAGAUAUAUAUAACCAUACUGUAUCUGAUCUUAAUUGUGUAAGUUAUACACAAAGUGGUAAAAAAUGUUUAUUUUGGUAUGAACCAGAAGUACAAAAUAUAAUAAAAACGGAUUAUUUGCAUAAUUUUUGUCGCAAUCCUGCAAAAUUGUCACAAAUAUAUUGUUAUGUGAAUAUCAGUGGA
Molecule: long non-coding RNA, 1204 nt
Filed under: Piliocolobus tephrosceles (Ugandan red Colobus)
Lineage: Eukaryota; Metazoa; Chordata; Mammalia; Primates; Cercopithecidae
Description: lncRNA (ENSPTEG00000019449.1)
Source: RNAcentral